This 468-nucleotide ribosomal RNA is filed under the name uncultured bacterium. RNAcentral describes it as "partial 16S ribosomal RNA". It matches the Rfam family "Bacterial small subunit ribosomal RNA", at positions 28 to 507 of the family's 1533-position model. The record is from RNAcentral.
GACGAACGCUGGCGGCGUGCUUAACACAUGCAAGUCGAACGGAAAGGCCCUGCUUUUGUGGGGUGCUCGAGUGGCGAACGGGUGAGUAACACGUGAGUAACCUGCCCUUGACUUUGGGAUAACUUCAGGAAACUGGGGCUAAUACCGGAUAGGAGCUCCUGCUGCAUGGUGGGGGUUGGAAAGUUUCGGCGGUUGGGGAUGGACUCGCGGCUUAUCAGCUUGUUGGUGGGGUAGUGGCUUACCAAGGCUUUGACGGGUAGCCGGCCUGAGAGGGUGACCGGCCACAUGGGGACUGAGAUACGGCCCAGACUCCUACGGGAGGCAGCGGUGGGGAAUCUUGCACAAUGGGCGGAAGCCUGAUGCAGCAACGCCGCGUGCGGGAUGACGGCCUUCGGGUUGUAAACCGCUUUCGCCUGUGACGAAGCGUGAGUGACGGUAAUGGGUAAAGAAGCACCGGCUAACUACGUG